This 497-nucleotide ribosomal RNA is filed under the name uncultured bacterium. RNAcentral describes it as "partial 16S ribosomal RNA". It matches the Rfam family "Bacterial small subunit ribosomal RNA", at positions 28 to 507 of the family's 1533-position model. The record is from RNAcentral.
GAUGAACGCUGGCGGCGUGCCUAAUACAUGCAAGUCGAGCGAACAGACGAGGAGCUUGCUCCUCUGACGUUAGCGGCGGACGGGUGAGUAACACGUGGAUAACCUACCUAUAAGACUGGGAUAACUUCGGGAAACCGGAGCUAAUACCGGAUAAUAUAUUGAACCGCAUGGUUCAAUAGUGAAAGACGGUUUUGCUGUCACUUAUAUAUGGAUCCGCGCCGCAUUAGCUAGUUGGUAAGGUAACGGCUUACCAAGGCAACGAUGCGUAGCCGACCUGAGAGGGUGAUCGGCCACACUGGAACUGAGACACGGUCCAGACUCCUACGGGAGGCAGCAGUAGGGAAUCUUCCGCAAAGGGCGAAAGCCUGACGGAGCAACGCCGCGUGAGUGAUGAAGGUCUUCGGAUCGUAAAACUCUGUUAUUAGGGAAGAACAGGUGUGUAAGUAACUAUGCACGUCUUGACGGUACCUAAUCAGAAAGCCACGGCUAACUACGUG